GUGGGGAAUAUUGGGCAAUGGGGGAAACCCUGACCCAGCAACGCCGCGUGAAGGAAGAAGGCUUUCGGGUUGUAAACUUCUUUUACCAGGGACGAAGAAAGUGACGGUACCUGGAGAAAAAGCCACGGCUAACUACGUGCCAGCAGCCGCGGUAAUACGUAGGUGGCAAGCGUUGUCCGGAUUUACUGGGUGUAAAGGGCGUGUAGGCGGAGCAGCAAGUCAGAAGUGAAAUCUCCGGGCUUAACCCGGAAACUGCUUUUGAAACUGUUGCCCUUGAGUAUCGGAGAGGCAGGCGGAAUUCCUAGUGUAGCGGUGAAAUGCGUAGAUAUUAGGAGGAACACCAGUGGCGAAGGCGGCCUGCUGGACGACAACUGACGCUGAGGCGCGAAAGCGUGGGGAGCAAACAGG
Molecule: ribosomal RNA, 408 nt
Filed under: uncultured bacterium
Lineage: Bacteria
Description: bacterial SSU rRNA
Rfam family: Bacterial small subunit ribosomal RNA
Source: RNAcentral